This 505-nucleotide ribosomal RNA is filed under the name uncultured bacterium. RNAcentral's name for it is "partial 16S ribosomal RNA". It matches the Rfam family "Bacterial small subunit ribosomal RNA", at positions 28 to 507 of the family's 1533-position model. The record is from RNAcentral.
GACGAACGCUGGCGGCGUGCCUAAUACAUGCAACUAGAACGCACAGUUUAUACCGUAGCUUGCUACACCAUAGACUGUGAGUUGCGAACGGGUGAGUAACGCGUAGGUAACCUGCCUGGUAGCGGGGGAUAACUAUUGGAAACGAUAGCUAAUACCGCAUAAUAUUAAUUAUUGCAUGAUAAUUAAUUGAAAGGUGCAAUUGCACCACUACCAGAUGGACCUGCGUUGUAUUAGCUAGUAGGUGAGGUAACGGCUCACCUAGGCGACGAUAUAUAGCCGACCUGAGAGGGUGAUCGGCCACACUGGGACUGAGACACGGCCCAGACUCCUACGGGAGGCAGCAGUAGGGAAUCUUCGGCAAUGGACGAAAGUCUGACCGAGCAACGCCGCGUGAGUGAAGAAGGUUUUCGGAUCGUAAAGCGCUGUUGUAAGAGAAGAACGGGUGUGAGAGUGGAAAGUUCACACUGUGACGGUAUCUUACCAGAAAGGGACGGCUAACUACGUG